RNAcentral lists this ribosomal RNA (253 nucleotides) under uncultured bacterium. RNAcentral's name for it is "partial 16S ribosomal RNA". It matches the Rfam family "Bacterial small subunit ribosomal RNA", at positions 524 to 776 of the family's 1533-position model. The record is from RNAcentral.
UACAGAGGGGGCAAGCGUUAUUCGGAAUUAUUGGGCGUAAAGGGCGCGUAGGCGGCUUUUCAAGUGACGGGUGAAAUCCCUCGGCUUAACCGAGGAACUGCCUGUCAGACUGGAAGGCUUGAGACCGGGAGAGGUGAGUGGAAUUCCCAGUGUAGCGGUGAAAUGCGUAGAUAUUGGGAGGAACACCAGUGGCGAAGGCGGCUCACUGGACCGGAACUGACGCUGAGGCGCGAAAGCGUCGGGAGCAAACAGG